UCGAGGAUCUUCGGCAAUGGGCGCAAGCCUGACCGAGCGACGCCGCGUGUGCGAUGAAGGCCUUCGGGUUGUAAAGCACUGUCGAGGGGGAGGAAAGCCCGCAAGGGCCUGACCUAUCCCUGGAGGAAGCACGGGCUAAGUUCGUGCCAGCAGCCGCGGUAAGACGAACCGUGCGAACGUUGUUCGGAAUCACUGGGCUUAAAGGGCGCGUAGGCGGGCCCUCCAGUCAGGGGUGAAAUCUUCCGGCUCAACCGGAAAGUAGCCCCUGAUACUGAGGGUCUCGAGGGGUGUAGGGGCAUGUGGAACUUCCGGUGGAGCGGUGAAAUGCGUAGAUAUCGGAAGGAACGCCGGUGGCGAAAGCGACGUGCUGGACACCUUCUGACGCUGAGGCGCGAAAGCCAGGGGAGCAAACGGGAUUAGAUACCCCGGUAGUCCUGGCCCUAAACGAUGGGUACUAGGAUUGUGGACCGGACAUGGGUUCACAGUCGAAGCAAAAGUGAUAAGUACCCGCCUGGGGAGUAU
This 522-nucleotide ribosomal RNA is filed under the name uncultured Planctomycetota bacterium. RNAcentral's name for it is "bacterial SSU rRNA". It matches the Rfam family "Bacterial small subunit ribosomal RNA", at positions 355 to 883 of the family's 1533-position model. Lineage: Bacteria; Pseudomonadati; Planctomycetota. The record is from RNAcentral.